AGAGUUUGAUCCUGGCUCAGGACGAACGCUGGCGGCGUGCCUAACACAUGCAAGUCGAACGGGGAUAUUGAUUUCGGUUGAUAUCCCAGUGGCGAACGGGUGAGUAACGCGUGAGCAACCUGACCUUUUGAGGGGGAUAACACCUGGAAACAAGUGCUAAUACCGCAUAAGACCACGGAGCGGCAUCGUUCAGGGGUCAAAGGAGGAAUCCGCAGAAGGAGGGGCUCGCGUCCCAUUAGAUAGUAGGCGGGGUAACGGCCCACCUAGUCGACGAUGGGUAGCCGAGCUGAGAGGCUGAUCGGCCACACUGGAACUGAGACACGGUCCAGACUCCUACGGGAGGCAGCAGUGGGGAAUAUUGGGCAAUGGGCGCAAGCCUGACCCAGCAACGCCGCGUGAGGGAAGAAGGCUUUCGGGUUGUAAACCUCUGUCCUUGGUGACGAAGGAAGUGACGGUAGCCAAGGAGGAAGCCCCGGCUAACUACGUGCCAGCAGCCGCGGUAAUACGUAGGGGGCGAGCGUUAUCCGGAUUCAUUGGGCGUAAAGCGCGCGUAGGCGGCCCGGCAGGCCGGGGGUCGAAGCGGGGGGCUCAACCCCCCGAAGCCCCCGGAACCUCCGCGGCUUGGGUCCGGUAGGGGAGGGUGGAACACCCGGUGUAGCGGUGGAAUGCGCAGAUAUCGGGUGGAACACCGGUGGCGAAGGCGGCCCUCUGGGCCGAGACCGACGCUGAGGCGCGAAAGCUGGGGGAGCGAACAGGAUUAGAUACCCUGGUAGUCCCAGCCGUAAACGAUGGACGCUAGGUGUGGGGGGACGAUCCCCCCGUGCCGCAGCCAACGCAUUAAGCGUCCCGCCUGGGGAGUACGGCCGCAAGGCUAAAACUCAAAGGAAUUGACGGGGGCCCGCACAAGCAGCGGAGCAUGUGGCUUAAUUCGAAGCAACGCGAAGAACCUUACCAGGGCUUGACAUAUGGGUGAAGCGGGGGAGACCCCGUGGCCGAGAGGAGCCCAUACAGGG
Molecule: ribosomal RNA, 1013 nt
Filed under: uncultured Clostridium sp.
Lineage: Bacteria; Bacillati; Bacillota; Clostridia; Eubacteriales; Clostridiaceae
Description: bacterial SSU rRNA
Rfam family: Bacterial small subunit ribosomal RNA
Source: RNAcentral